RNAcentral lists this ribosomal RNA (1439 nucleotides) under uncultured bacterium. RNAcentral's name for it is "bacterial SSU rRNA". It matches the Rfam family "Bacterial small subunit ribosomal RNA". The record is from RNAcentral.
AGAGUUUGAUCAUGGCUCAGAACGUACGCUGGCGGCACGCCUAACACAUGCAAGUCGAACGAAGUAGCAAUACUUAGUGGCAGACGGGUGAGUAACAUGUAGGUAUCUGCCCUUUGGCCUGGAAUAACACGAGGAAACUUGUGCUAAUACCGGAUAAGUCUUUACGGAGAAAGCUUUAUGCACCAUUGGAUGAGCCUGCACUUGAUUAGUUUGUUGGUAGGGUAAUGGCCUACCAAGACUGUGAUCAAUAGCUGAUUUGAGAGGAUGAUCAGCCACAUUGGGACUGAGACACGGCCCAAACUCCUACGGGAGGCAGCAGUGGGGAAUCUUGCACAAUGGAGGAAACUCUGAUGCAGCGAUGCCGCGUGAGUGAAGAAGGCCUUUGGGUUGUAAAGCUCUUUCGUCGGGGAAGAAAAUGACUGUACCCGAAUAAGAAGGUCCGGCUAACUUCGUGCCAGCAGCCGCGGUAAUACGAAGGGACCUAGCGUAGUUCGGAAUUACUGGGCUUAAAGAGUUCGUAGGUGGUUGAAAAAGUUGGUGGUGAAAUCCCAGAGCUUAACUCUGGAACUGCCAUCAAAACUUUUCAGCUAGAGUAUGAUAGAGGAAAGCAGAAUUUCUAGUGUAGAGGUGAAAUUCGUAGAUAUUAGAAAGAAUACCAAUUGCGAAGGCAGCUUUCUGGAUCAUUACUGACACUGAGGAACGAAAGCAUGGGUAGCGAAGAGGAUUAGAUACCCUCGUAGUCCAUGCCGUAAACGAUGUGUGUUAGACGUUGGAAAUUUAUUUUCAGUGUCGCAGCGAAAGCGAUAAACACACCGCCUGGGGAGUACGACCGCAAGGUUAAAACUCAAAUGAAUUGACGGGGACCCGCACAAGUAGUGGAGCAUGUGGUUUAAUUCGAAGAUACGCGCAGAACCUUACCAACACUUGACAUGUUCGUCGCGACUUUAAGAGAUUAAAGUUUUCGGUUCGGCCGGACGAAACACAGGUGCUGCAUGGCUGUCGUCAGCUCGUGUCGUGAGAUGUUGGGUUAAGUCCCGCAACGAGCGCAACCCUCACUUUUAGUUGCCAUCAUUUAGUUGGGCACUCUGAAAGAACUGCCAGUGAUAAGCUGGAGGAAGGUGGGGAUGACGUCAAGUCCUCAUGGCCCUUACGUGUUGGGCUACACACGUGCUACAAUGGUAUCUACAACAGGAAGCAAGACGGCGACGUUAAGCAAAUCCUUAAAAGAUACCUCAGUUCGGAUUGCACUCUGCAACUCGAGUGCAUGAAGCUGGAAUUACUAGUAAUCGUGGAUCAGCGUGCCACGGUGAAUGCGUUCCCGGGUCUUGUACACACCGCCCGUCACACCAUGGGAGUUGGUUCUACCUUAAGGCAAGGUUUAAAACCCUUGACCACGGUAUAGUCAGCGACUGGGGUGAAGUCGUAACAAGGUAGCCGUA